GGGCGAUUAGCUCAGUUGGUAGAGCAGCGCAUUUACACUGCGAAGGUCGGGGGUUCAAGCCCCUCAUCGCCCACCA
Molecule: transfer RNA, 76 nt
Filed under: bacterium
Lineage: Bacteria
Description: tRNA-Val
Rfam family: tRNA
About the family: Transfer RNA (tRNA) molecules are approximately 80 nucleotides in length.
Source: RNAcentral